Molecule: non-coding RNA, 167 nt
Filed under: pig gut metagenome
Source: RNAcentral
UGCGAUAAUGGUUCUUGCCAUCUAAUGGCAAGAUUAAAAGGGAAUCGGGUGGAAAUCCCGAACAGUCCCCGCUGCUGUAACUCCAUUAAGCGGCUCGCUUAUUGCCACUGAGCUAUUAUGCUUGGGAAGGCGCGAUGCCUGGAGAAGUCAGAAGACCUGCCUUAUCG